Unclassified non-coding RNA from Anser brachyrhynchus (Pink-footed goose), 163 nucleotides. NCBI's taxonomy places the organism in Eukaryota, Metazoa, Chordata, Aves, Anseriformes, Anatidae. The record is from Ensembl.
UUCAGAGAACUUGAAAGUUAAGUCCUGCAUUUACCUACAGAGCAUGCAGGGCACUGGCAAGUGUCUGUGCUCCACAGCAUCAGUGAGCCUCAGCCCUGACCUGAAGGGACCCAGCCAGCAGGGCUGAGGAGGUGGUUUCCUCUUCAUUGAUUCCUCAGGGGCU